GACGACUCUCGGCAACGGAUAUCUCGGCUCUCGCAUCGAUGAAGAACGUAGCGAAAUGCGAUACUUGGUGUGAAUUGCAGAAUCCCGUGAACCAUCGAGUCUUUGAACGCAAGUUGCGCCCCAAGCCUUCUGGCCGAGGGCACGUCUGCCUGGGUGUCACAAAU
This 164-nucleotide ribosomal RNA is filed under the name Boechera divaricarpa. Its description in RNAcentral is "5.8S ribosomal RNA". It matches the Rfam family "5.8S ribosomal RNA". From Rfam's summary of the family: 5.8S ribosomal RNA (5.8S rRNA) is a component of the large subunit of the eukaryotic ribosome. It is transcribed by RNA polymerase I as part of the 45S precursor that also contains 18S and 28S rRNA. Lineage: Eukaryota; Viridiplantae; Streptophyta; Magnoliopsida; Brassicales; Brassicaceae. The record is from RNAcentral.